RNAcentral lists this long non-coding RNA (1040 nucleotides) under Vulpes vulpes (red fox). Its description in RNAcentral is "lncRNA (ENSVVUG00000025825.1)". Lineage: Eukaryota; Metazoa; Chordata; Mammalia; Carnivora; Canidae. The record is from RNAcentral.
UCUCUCUCACAAUUUGGCAUUUUAAAUCAAUGUUAGCAUAGUCAAAAUUCUGACAUUCCACUUUGAGAAACCUAUUUACAUUGUUCAGUUGAUCUUCACUCAAACUUAUUUGAUAGUAAAAAAUCACAUUUCUAUUGAAUACCAUUUCAGUUAUCUAUUGCUGUAUAAUGAGUGCCCCCCAAAUUAGUGGCUUAAUUUAAAUGAUGGGUUAUUUCUCACAGUUCUGUGGAUUUCUGUGUUGGCAGGUACAAGACAACCUGGCAGUUGGUGCUAAUGGGGUGCCUUACUUCCCCUCCACAUGGUUUUCCAUCCCCCUAAAGACUUCCUUACAAGGUAGGCUUAUCAGAUCACGAAUAACAGUGCACCAGAGACUGAGCUUCCUGUGCCUUCAUUCUGUGGAGGAUAGGCUCUGUAAACAGACAGACUUAGGCAUUCUAAAUGGCAUGAGCUAGAUGAGCUACAUCUCAAAAGCUUCCUUUGAGGUGGAAGGCGUCACAUUUGAAAUGCUUGUUGUAAAUGCCCGAAGUCAAAUCCGCUGCUUCAGUGCCAGAGGAAUACUUGGUGGUGAUGACUCGAUCAAUAUCCUCAGGACACUGGCUCCUGGUAAUAUUGCUUAAACAUUUUGCAUUAACUUGGCUUUAAGUGUUCCAGCUUUCUUUGCCCAGGAGAGCUAAUGAAAGAGAAACAUUAAAAUGAAGGCUAAUAAUCGUAGAGAAAAGUUAUAUAGUACACUUCACAGGCAAUAUAUGAGACUGUAGCUUCAUCUUCCUUCUGUAACACGUUUAUUAUGAUUAGAACACAGCCUUUUUCUGGAUGUCAUUUUCAGCUGAUGUGUCACAGCAUGAAAGAGUCUCAAAAUUGCAUCUGCUUCCCAUUCUUAGCUCAUUACAAGGAAGGAGGAAUAGAAGGGUGAGGGAUCUUGUGGCCGCGAUUUAUAUAUGAAGAGCAGAGGUGGUGUUAAGUCCCUAGACCAACACUUAAAUCUAAGAUUAUCUAGAAACUGAAUAGGAGAAGGGGGGCGGGGAGGCUAUAUAAAAAAC